AGAGUUUGAUCAUGGCUCAGAUUGAACGCUGGCGGCAGGCCUAACACAUGCAAGUCGAGCGGUAGCACAGAGAGCUUGCUCUCGGGUGACGAGCGGCGGACGGGUGAGUAAUGUCUGGGAAACUGCCUGAUGGAGGGGGAUAACUACUGGAAACGGUAGCUAAUACCGCAUAACGUCGCAAGACCAAAGUGGGGGACCUUCGGGCCUCAUGCCAUCAGAUGUGCCCAGAUGGGAUUAGCUAGUAGGUGGGGUAACGGCUCACCUAGGCGACGAUCCCUAGCUGGUCUGAGAGGAUGACCAGCCACACUGGAACUGAGACACGGUCCAGACUCCUACGGGAGGCAGCAGUGGGGAAUAUUGCACAAUGGGCGCAAGCCUGAUGCAGCCAUGCCGCGUGUGUGAAGAAGGCCUUCGGGUUGUAAAGCACUUUCAGCGGGGAGGAAGGCGUUAAGGUUAAUAACCUUGGCGAUUGACGUUACCCGCAGAAGAAGCACCGGCUAACUCCGUGCCAGCAGCCGCGGUAAUACGGAGGGUGCAAGCGUUAAUCGGAAUUACUGGGCGUAAAGCGCACGCAGGCGGUCUGUCAAGUCGGAUGUGAAAUCCCCGGGCUCAACCUGGGAACUGCAUUCGAAACUGGCAGGCUAGAGUCUUGUAGAGGGGGGUAGAAUUCCAGGUGUAGCGGUGAAAUGCGUAGAGAUCUGGAGGAAUACCGGUGGCGAAGGCGGCCCCCUGGACAAAGACUGACGCUCAGGUGCGAAAGCGUGGGGAGCAAACAGGAUUAGAUACCCUGGUAGUCCACGCCGUAAACGAUGUCGAUUUGGAGGUUGUGCCCUUGAGGCGUGGCUUCCGGAGCUAACGCGUUAAAUCGACCGCCUGGGGAGUACGGCCGCAAGGUUAAAACUCAAAUGAAUUGACGGGGGCCCGCACAAGCGGUGGAGCAUGUGGUUUAAUUCGAUGCAACGCGAAGAACCUUACCUGGUCUUGACAUCCACAGAACUUUCCAGAGAUGGAUUGGUGCCUUCGGGAACUGUGAGACAGGUGCUGCAUGGCUGUCGUCAGCUCGUGUUGUGAAAUGUUGGGUUAAGUCCCGCAACGAGCGCAACCCUUAUCCUUUGUUGCCAGCGGUUAGGCCGGGAACUCAAAGGAGACUGCCAGUGAUAAACUGGAGGAAGGUGGGGAUGACGUCAAGUCAUCAUGGCCCUUACGACCAGGGCUACACACGUGCUACAAUGGCAUAUACAAAGAGAAGCGACCUCGCGAGAGCAAGCGGACCUCAUAAAGUAUGUCGUAGUCCGGAUUGGAGUCUGCAACUCGACUCCAUGAAGUCGGAAUCGCUAGUAAUCGUAGAUCAGAAUGCUACGGUGAAUACGUUCCCGGGCCUUGUACACACCGCCCGUCACACCAUGGGAGUGGGUUGCAAAAGAAGUAGGUAGCUUAACCUUCGGGAGGGCGCUUACCACUUUGUUAUUCAUGACUGGGGUGAAGUCGUAACAAGGUAACCGUAGGGGAACCUGCGGUUGGAUCACCU
This 1528-nucleotide ribosomal RNA is filed under the name Klebsiella pneumoniae. RNAcentral describes it as "bacterial SSU rRNA". It matches the Rfam family "Bacterial small subunit ribosomal RNA". Lineage: Bacteria; Pseudomonadati; Pseudomonadota; Gammaproteobacteria; Enterobacterales; Enterobacteriaceae. The record is from RNAcentral.